AAAGCCCCUGAGAACGUUGUAUGAAUAUUCACAGGAAAGAGACGUUCUACUCCCUGGAGGUUGAGACUGGAAUGAGAAGUGCUGAAGAAAAGGGUCGAAUGGAGGUCUGAGGACUAAGAGGUUGAGGCCCGUGGAAAAUGGAUCAGAGAUCAGUUUUCGCCGGCAGUCGAAAU
This is a long non-coding RNA of Cryptotermes secundus, 173 nucleotides long. RefSeq lists it as uncharacterized. The record is from RefSeq and is a predicted model, not a curated record. Lineage: Eukaryota; Metazoa; Arthropoda; Insecta; Blattodea; Kalotermitidae. The transcript has 3 exons.